RNAcentral lists this ribosomal RNA (877 nucleotides) under uncultured bacterium. RNAcentral describes it as "bacterial SSU rRNA". It matches the Rfam family "Bacterial small subunit ribosomal RNA", at positions 613 to 1504 of the family's 1533-position model. The record is from RNAcentral.
CUGUAGAAUUGCCAUUGAUACUGAAUUUCUUGAAUCUAAUUGAAGUGGGCGGAAUAUGACAUGUAGCGGUGAAAUGCUUAGAUAUGUCAUAGAACACCGAUAGCGAAGGCAGCUCACUAAGUUAGUAUUGACGCUCAUGCACGAAAGCGUGGGGAGCGAACAGGAUUAGAUACCCUGGUAGUCCACGCUGUAAACGAUGAUUACUCGCUAUUGGCGAUACACUGUCAGUGGCUAAGCGAAAGUGAUAAGUAAUCCACCUGGGGAGUACGAUCGCAAGGUUGAAACUCAAAGGAAUUGACGGGGGCCCGCACAAGCGGUGGAGCAUGUGGUUUAAUUCGAUGAUACGCGAGGAACCUUACCAGGACUUAAAUGCAUAACGAUCGGUUGAGAAAUCAACUUUUCUUCGGACGGUAUGCAAGGUGCUGCAUGGUUGUCGUCAGCUCGUGCCGUGAGGUGUCAGGUUAAGUCCUAUAACGAGCGCAACCCCUAUUCUUAGUUGCCAGCGGUUCGGCCGGGGACUCUAAGAAAACUGCCAGCGCAAGCUGUGAGGAAGGUGGGGAUGACGUCAAAUCAUCACGGCCCUUACGUCCUGGGCCACACACGUGCUACAAUGGUAGGUACAAAGGGCAGCCACUUGGCGACAAGGAGCUAAUCUCUAAAACCUAUCUCAGUUCGGAUUGGAGUCUGCAACUCGACUCUAUGAAGCUGGAAUCGCUAGUAAUCGCGCAUCAGCCAUGGCGCGGUGAAUACGUUCCCGGGCCUUGUACACACCGCCCGUCAAGCCAUGGAAGCUGGGGGUACCUGAAGUCGGUAACCAUAUAGGAGCUGCCUAGGGUAAAACUAGUGACUGGGGCUAAGUCGUAACAAGGUAACCGUA